RNAcentral lists this transfer RNA (72 nucleotides) under Bradyrhizobium erythrophlei. RNAcentral's name for it is "tRNA_Thr_TGT". It matches the Rfam family "tRNA". Rfam says of the family: Transfer RNA (tRNA) molecules are approximately 80 nucleotides in length. Lineage: Bacteria; Pseudomonadati; Pseudomonadota; Alphaproteobacteria; Hyphomicrobiales; Nitrobacteraceae. The record is from RNAcentral.
GCCGGGUUAGCACAGCGGUAGUGCAGUCGCUUUGUAAGCGAAAGGUCGCGGGUUCAAAUCCUGCACCCGGCA